RNAcentral lists this ribosomal RNA (1139 nucleotides) under uncultured bacterium. Its description in RNAcentral is "bacterial SSU rRNA". It matches the Rfam family "Bacterial small subunit ribosomal RNA", at positions 220 to 1377 of the family's 1533-position model. The record is from RNAcentral.
GCUAGAUGGGCCCGCGUUUGAUUAGCUAGUUGGUGAGGUAACGGCUCACCAAGGCGACGAUCAGUAGCCGACCUGAGAGGGUGAUCGGCCACACUGGAACUGAGACACGGUCCAGACUCCUACGGGAGGCAGCAGUGGGGAAUAUUGCACAAUGGGCGCAAGCCUGAUGCAGCAACGCCGCGUGAGUGAUGAAGGCCUUCGGGUCGUAAAACUCUGUCCUAAGGGAAGAAGAAGUGACGGUACCUUACCAGAAAGCCACGGCUAACUACGUGCCAGCAGCCGCGGUAAUACGUAGGUGGCAAGCGUUAUCCGGAAUUAUUGGGCGUAAAGGGAGCGUAGGCGGUUUGAUAAGUCUGAGGUGAAAGUUCGGGGCUCAACUCCGGAUUGCCUUAGAAACUGUCAGACUAGAGUGCAGGAGAGGGCAAUGGAAUUCCAUGUGUAGCGGUAAAAUGCGUAGAUAUAUGGAGGAACACCAGUGGCGAAGGCGGUUGCCUGGCCUGUAACUGACGCUGAGGCACGAAAGCGUGGGGAGCAAAUAGGAUUAGAUACCCUAGUAGUCCACGCUGUAAACGAUGAAUACUAGGUGUCGGGAUCGCGAGGUCUCGGUGCCGCAGCUAACGCAUUAAGUACUCCGCCUGGGGAGUACGGUCGCAAGACUGAAACUCAAAGGAAUUGACGGGGGCCCGCACAAGCGGUGGAGCAUGUGGUUUAAUUCGAAGCAACGCGAAGAACCUUACCAAGUCUUGACAUCCCUCUGAAUGGCGCUUAGCAGCGCAGGUCUUUCUAGUUAUGGCGGAUACAGGUGGUGCAUGGUUGUCGUCAGCUCGUGUCGUGAGAUGUUGGGUUAAGUCCCGCAACGAGCGCAACCCUUGCCUUUAGUUACCAGCAUUCAGUUGGGGACUCUAGAGGGACUGCCGGUGACAAACCGGAGGAAGGUGGGGAUGACGUCAAGUCCUCAUGGCCCUUAUGUCCAGGGCUACACACGUGCUACAAUGGCCGGUACAAAGAGUUGCGAUCCGCGAGGUGAAGCAAAUCUUCUAAAGCCGGUCCCAGUUCGGAUUGCAGGCUGAAACUCGCCUGCAUGAAGUUGGAGUUGCUAGUAAUCGCGAAUCAGCAUGCCGUGGUGAAUGCGUUCCCGG